CGAGCCGCGCCACGCCGCCCACGCAGCGGCUGGCGUUGACGCACUUGCCCGAGUCCUCGCUGGUCUGCUCCAGGCGGCUGUGCACGUCGUUGGUGUGCAGGACGGAAUGCUGAGCUGGUGGUGGCCCAGGCAAGGGCACCCAUGGGAGCUGACAGAGGAGCACCAACCCUGCCUGGAUGGGUCAGAGGAAGCCCCGUGGAAGACAUAAUGCCCACACUGAGCCCUGGAGAACUGGGCUGGUGACUAGUCCUGGUGACAGAAGCAUUCACCACUGCGUCCGCUGCUGCGAGCAUCCUCAGUGAUACCAUCCUCCAUAAAGCAGAUUGGUCCUGCGGUCCUGAAGAGGUGAUGUGUGACCAUUAACAGUUGCUGCUAUGGAUUCCAUAAUUUCUGAAGUCCCUGGAUGAGGCAGGUGCGGUCUGUGAACUCAGAAUGAGUUCUUUUCAGAAUGCAGGCGGGACUUUCCUUGCAACAAAAGUGGGACUCCUGCGUGAGGAGUAAAUCUCCACCCAAUGACGGCAGUGGCCAGCCAGCUGAGGCCUGAAUGACAGACUUUCAACAUCAGACUCAACUUCGGGUCCGAUAGUCAAUGAAGCAUGCCCUUGAGCAGAGGAGAGAAUUGCCACAUGCGUGUCCGUCAUGCUGUUCCUUGUGGUAGCCUACAAGCCCAGAAUUCUAUACAUCCAUAAUGCAUGCGAGUUCAAUGAGAGUCACAGUACAAGAAAGCACAAGUCCUGGAGACAUCAGGAGAGUAAGGAGUUUCCUUGGGCUUCCAAAUGGUGCUCCAAUGAGAUGAACUACAGGCACCCAUGAUGCGGCACAAAAAGCCAUCUUGGAAAACAACCUGAGAGAAGAGUAAAAUCCUGAGAUGUCUACUUUUUAAUGGAUACAGGAUGCCACGUUCCAUUUAUAGUCAUUUUGUUACCAUGACUUCUUGGGCUGCUCUCGGCUGUGGCAACUUUACAGACUUUCCCUGUUUUGAUGACUUUGGCAGUUUCGAGGAAUACUGGUGAGUUGUUUGUAGAUUGUUCCUCAGUUAGGAUUUGUCUGAUGGGAUUCCCACGAUUCCACUGUGCUGGUGGGUGUUGGGGAGGAAGACCACAGAGGUGAAGUGACAUCCUUAUCCCAUCAUGUCAAGGGCACAUGUUCUCAGCGUCUCUGAUCUCCUGGCGGUGGUCAUGUCUGUCGGCUCCUCCACUGUCCAGUCACUUUCUCCCACCUUCCUACGCUGUACUCUUCGGAAG
Non-coding RNA from Vicugna pacos (alpaca), 1244 nucleotides. Lineage: Eukaryota; Metazoa; Chordata; Mammalia; Artiodactyla; Camelidae. The record is from RefSeq and is a predicted model, not a curated record.